ACUCCUACGGGAGGCAGCAGUGGGGAAUCUUGGACAAUGGGGGCAACCCUGAUCCAGCCAUGCCGCGUGAGUGAAGAAGGCCUUAGGGUCGUAAAGCUCUUUCGCCUGUGAAGAUAAUGACGGUAGCAGGUAAAGAAACCCCGGCUAACUCCGUGCCAGCAGCCGCGGUAAUACGGAGGGGGUUAGCGUUUGUUUCGGAAUUUACUGGGCGUAAAGCGCGCGUAGGCGGACCAGAAAGUUGGGGUGAAAUCCCGGGGCUCAACCCCGGAACUGCCUCCAAAAACUCCUGGUCUUGAGUUCGAGAGAGGUGAGUGGAAUUCCGAGUGUAGAGGUGAAAUUCGUAGAUAUUCGGAGGAACACCAGUGGCGAAGGCGGCUCACUGGCUCGAUACUGACGCUGAGGUGCGAAAGUGUGGGAGCAAACAGGAUUAGAUACCCUGGUAGGACAGUG
Molecule: ribosomal RNA, 450 nt
Filed under: uncultured bacterium
Lineage: Bacteria
Description: bacterial SSU rRNA
Rfam family: Bacterial small subunit ribosomal RNA
Source: RNAcentral